GCCCAGACUCCUACGGGAGGCAGCAGUAGGAAUCUUCCACAAUGGACGAAAGUCUGAUGGAGCAACGCCGCGUGAGUGAAGAAGGUUUUCGGAUCGUAAAACUCUGUUGUUGGAGAAGAAUGUAUCUGAUAGUAACUGAUCAGGUAGUGACGGUAUCCAACCAGAAAGCCACGGCUAACUACGUGCCAGCAGCCGCGGUAAUACGUAGGUGGCAAGCGUUGUCCGGAUUUAUUGGGCGUAAAGCGAGCGCAGGCGGUUUCUUAAGUCUGAUGUGAAAGCCUUCGGCUCAACCGAAGAAGUGCAUCGGAAACUGGGAAACUUGAGUGCAGAAGAGGACAGUGGAACUCCAUGUGUAGCGGUGAAAUGCGUAGAUAUAUGGAAGAACACCAGUGGCGAAGGCGGCUGUCUGGUCUGUAACUGACGCUGAGGCUCGAAAGCAUGGGUAGCAAACAGGAUUAGAUACCCUGGUAGUCCAUGCCGUAAACGAUGAGUGCUAGGUGUUGGAGGGUUUCCGCCCUUCAGUGCCGCAGCUAACGCAUUAAGCACUCCGCCUGGGGAGUACGACCGCAAGGUUGAAACUCAAAGGAAUUGACGGGGGCCCGCACAAGCGGUGGAGCAUGUGGUUUAAUUCGAAGCAACGCGAAGAACCUUACCAGGUCUUGACAUCCUUUGACCACUCUAGAGAUAGAGCUUUCCCUUCGGGGACAAAGUGACAGGUGGUGCAUGGUUGUCGUCAGCUCGUGUCGUGAGAUGUUGGGUUAAGUCCCGCAACGAGCGCAACCCUUAUUACUAGUUGCCAGCAUUUAGUUGGGCACUCUAGUGAGACUGCCGGUGACAAACCGGAGGAAGGUGGGGACGACGUCAAAUCAUCAUGCCCCUUAUGACCUGGGCUACACACGUGCUACAAUGGAUGGUACAACGAGUUGCGAGACCGCGAGGUUUAGCUAAUCUCUUAAAACCAUUCUCAGUUCGGAUUGUAGGCUGCAACUCGCCUACAUGAAGCCGGAAUCGCUAGUAAUCGCGGAUCAGCAUGCCGCGGUGAAUACGUUCCCGGGCCUUGUACACACCGCCCGUCACACCAUGAGAGUUUGUAACACCCAAAGCCGGUGAGGUAACCCUUCGGGAGCCAGCCGUCUAAG
RNAcentral lists this ribosomal RNA (1139 nucleotides) under Latilactobacillus sakei. Its description in RNAcentral is "bacterial SSU rRNA". It matches the Rfam family "Bacterial small subunit ribosomal RNA", at positions 329 to 1461 of the family's 1533-position model. The record is from RNAcentral. Lineage: Bacteria; Bacillati; Bacillota; Bacilli; Lactobacillales; Lactobacillaceae.